CCUACGGGAGGCAGCAGUGGGGAAUAUUGCACAAUGGGGGAAACUCUGAUGCAGCGACGCCGCGUGAGUGAAGAAGUAUUUCGGUAUGUAAAGCUCUGUCAGCAGGGAAGAAAAUGACGGUCCCUGACCAAGAAGCCCUGGACAACUACGUGCAAGCAGCCGCGGUAAAACGUAGGGGGAAAGCGUUAUCCGGAUUUACUGGGUGGAAAGGGAGCGUGGACGGCAGGGCAAGUCUGGAGUGAAAGGCGGGGGCUCAACCCCCGGACUGCUCUGGAAACUGCCAGGCUGGAGUGCAGGAGAGGUAAGUGGAAUUCCUAGUGUAGCGGUGAAAUGCGUAGAGAUCAAGAGGAAUACUCAUUGCGAAGGCGACCUGCUAGAACAUAACUGACGCUGAUGCGCGAAAGCGUGGGGAGCAAACAGGAUUAGAUACCCGAGUAGUC
This 440-nucleotide ribosomal RNA is filed under the name uncultured bacterium. RNAcentral describes it as "partial 16S ribosomal RNA". It matches the Rfam family "Bacterial small subunit ribosomal RNA", at positions 338 to 795 of the family's 1533-position model. The record is from RNAcentral.